Molecule: ribosomal RNA, 542 nt
Filed under: Enterobacter asburiae
Lineage: Bacteria; Pseudomonadati; Pseudomonadota; Gammaproteobacteria; Enterobacterales; Enterobacteriaceae
Also listed under: 1 other name
Description: partial 23S ribosomal RNA
Rfam family: Bacterial large subunit ribosomal RNA
Source: RNAcentral
GGUUAAGCGACUAAGCGUACACGGUGGAUGCCCUGGCAGUCAGAGGCGAUGAAGGACGUGCUAAUCUGCGAAAAGCGCCGGCGAGGUGAUAUGAACCUUUGACCCGGCGAUGUCCGAAUGGGGAAACCCAGUGCAAUUCGUUGCACUAUCGUUAACUGAAUACAUAGGUUAACGAGGCGAACCGGGGGAACUGAAACAUCUAAGUACCCCGAGGAAAAGAAAUCAACCGAGAUUCCCCCAGUAGCGGCGAGCGAACGGGGAGCAGCCCAGAGUCUGAAUCAGCUUGUGUGUUAGUGGAAGCGUCUGGAAAGUCGCACGGUACAGGGUGACAGUCCCGUACACGAAAGCACACAGGUUGUGAACUCGAAGAGUAGGGCGGGACACGUGGUAUCCUGUCUGAAUAUGGGGGGACCAUCCUCCAAGGCUAAAUACUCCUGACUGACCGAUAGUGAACCAGUACCGUGAGGGAAAGGCGAAAAGAACCCCGGCGAGGGGAGUGAAAAAGAACCUGAAACCGUGUACGUACAAGCAGUGGGAGCACC